GUGAGGGUGAGAUUGAGAGAGAGGAUGAGAGAGGAGGAUGGAAGGGAUAAGUAACAAAAGUGAAAACAAUUUCAAAUAGAUUUUAGGUUUUAAAUUUUGUUUUAAAUUUUGUUACUCCUCCCUCCCAUCUCACUUUCCAUUCUCCCUCUUUUUCCUUUAUAUUAU
RNAcentral lists this microRNA precursor (165 nucleotides) under Prunus dulcis (almond). RNAcentral's name for it is "sRNA ncRNA". The record is from RNAcentral. Lineage: Eukaryota; Viridiplantae; Streptophyta; Magnoliopsida; Rosales; Rosaceae.